RNAcentral lists this transfer RNA (73 nucleotides) under Catellatospora citrea. RNAcentral's name for it is "tRNA-Tyr". It matches the Rfam family "tRNA". From Rfam's summary of the family: Transfer RNA (tRNA) molecules are approximately 80 nucleotides in length. The record is from RNAcentral. Lineage: Bacteria; Bacillati; Actinomycetota; Actinomycetes; Micromonosporales; Micromonosporaceae.
GCCGACGUAGGAGAGUCGGGCCUGGCUGUAAACCAGGUGCUCUGCUGAGGGAGUUCGAAUCUCCCCGUCCGCA